AGGAACGGAGGGAGUAAUAUGAUCUGAAGUAUCUGAUGUUGAUACAUCCAUGCAUGGUCUUCAAAGUUCUCUGAUUGCC
Molecule: small nucleolar RNA, 79 nt
Filed under: Brachypodium distachyon (stiff brome)
Lineage: Eukaryota; Viridiplantae; Streptophyta; Magnoliopsida; Poales; Poaceae
Description: Small nucleolar RNA R160
Rfam family: Small nucleolar RNA R160
About the family: snoR160 is a C/D box small nucleolar RNA, which acts as a methylation guide for 25S ribosomal RNA in plants. snoR160 has been alternatively named snoZ270 in rice.
Source: Rfam by way of RNAcentral